UGGGACCCCGCUGAGGCUGAUGGGGUGGUGCGUGUGCAUUUCCUCCGGCCCAGGGGCCCAAGGGGCUCUGUGGCCUGGGGCAGGGCCAGGAAGGUGCAGUGACCAGGUGGCGAUGUGUGGGGGACACUGAGUGCGUGAGGGCUGCUGUUCAGGACAGUGCCUUUCCUGUCCUGGUGACUCAGCUGUCCCCCCCUAGGAUAUGCACAGAGGAAGGAAAGCAUCGAUUGCAGCUUGGAUUGGGCACGGUCUGGGCUCCAGGGCAGGAGCAGGCCUGGAGUGACCCCGUGUUUCCGAGGGUCAUCCCAACACGGACGGCUGGGUGCCCUUUAUGGUGUGGCCUCUUUCAGAACAGCUCUCAGGAGGCUGGUGAGGGCGUCUGGAGACCUCAGGCAGGAGAAGGGACACGCUUGGGUGAACUCUGUACCCACCCUCCAUGUGAUUUACCAUUUUCACAUUCAGCGUCUCUCCUCACAAGGCCCCAAACGCGUCUCUCUCCAGACCCGACCCCUCCCCUGCUCCCCCCCAGGCACGUUGGCACCCAGGAGGCCAUGAGGACUCAGGGACUGAGGAUCCUGGAAGGAGUGAGAUGGGGGACGGGGGUUAGGGACCCCAGCCAGCCUGGUUCCUCUCGUGGAGUGGUGCUCCCGGUCUCUGAGCCCAGGUCCUUUGGAAUGGGAUCAGGACAGCGGCUUCCCCUUCCCCAGGCCCAUUCUCCGCCGUUACCUUUUACCGGGAGCCCGGAGCUGCCGAGGCCUUCCCUGUCCUACUAGGACACUUCCCGUGGUACCGUGACCCGAGACUGGAACUCGUGGCUCCUACCUGUCUUGCCACCCGUCAUACCCCUUCCCUCCUCUAAAGUCACCUCCCUCUGUGACAGAGGCCACACCUGCCUUUUGCUGUGAGCUCACCGGGACCCUGUGCCCUGGCAGGCACCCCUGGUCCUGCACCCUUUGGGGAAGCUGGCCAUGCUCCUGCCAAGCAGAGGAAACCAUGCCCUCUUCUGGGCUUCUGGAAUCCGUGUGUGGACCUCUCUGUGUCCUUUACCCCAUAGGUCUCCUCAAAGUGUCCCUUGUAAAUACGGGUCCAGUUAUUAAUUUCAAAAGUGAUUGGAGACAACAUACAAGUCACACAGCUGAGAAAGAACUGACGAGGAAAGGGUGUGUGGGUGUGUGUGUGUGAGGUGUGUGUGUGUAUUAGUGUGUAUGUGGAUGUGUGGGGUACGUGGGUAUGUGUUUGUGUGUUAGUGUGUGUGUUAGAGUGGAUGUGGGUGCGUGUGUUAGAGUAUGUGUGUGUGUUAGAGUGUGUGGGUGUGUUAGUAUGAGUGUGUGUGUAGGUGUGUGUGUUAGUGUGUGUGUUUGUGUGUGUGUUAGUAUGCUUG
RNAcentral lists this long non-coding RNA (1378 nucleotides) under Marmota monax (woodchuck). Lineage: Eukaryota; Metazoa; Chordata; Mammalia; Rodentia; Sciuridae. The record is from RNAcentral.